This 468-nucleotide ribosomal RNA is filed under the name uncultured bacterium. Its description in RNAcentral is "partial 16S ribosomal RNA". It matches the Rfam family "Bacterial small subunit ribosomal RNA", at positions 28 to 507 of the family's 1533-position model. The record is from RNAcentral.
GACGAACGCUGGCGGCGUGCUUAACACAUGCAAGUCGAACGGAAAGGCCCUGCUUUUGUGGGGUGCUCGAGUGGCGAACGGGUGAGUAACACGUGAGUAACCUGCCCUUGACUUUGGGAUAACUUCAGGAAACUGGGGCUAAUACCGGAUAGGAGCUCCUGCUGCAUGGUGGGGGUUGGAAAGUUUCGGCGGUUGGGGAUGGACUCGCGGCUUAUCAGCUUGUUGGGGGGGUAGUGGCUUACCAAGGCUUUGACGGGUAGCCGGGCUGAGAGGGUGACCGGCCACAUUGGGACUGAGAUACGGCCCAGACUCCUACGGGAGGCAGCAGUGGGGAAGAUUGCACAAUGGGCGGAAGCCUGAUGCAGCAACGCCGCGUGCGGGAUGACGGCCUUCGGGUUGUAAACCGCUUUCGCCUGUGACGAAGCGUGAGUGACGGUAAUGGGUAAAGAAGCACCGGCUAACUACGUG